Molecule: non-coding RNA, 72 nt
Organism: Phrynosoma platyrhinos (Desert horned lizard)
Lineage: Eukaryota; Metazoa; Chordata; Lepidosauria; Squamata; Phrynosomatidae
Source: the annotation of a GenBank genome assembly
GCCAGCAUGGCAUAGUGGUUUGAACAUUUAACUACAACUCUGGAGACCUGGGUUCAAUUCCCAGCUCAGCCA